This 307-nucleotide ribosomal RNA is filed under the name uncultured bacterium. RNAcentral describes it as "bacterial SSU rRNA". It matches the Rfam family "Bacterial small subunit ribosomal RNA", at positions 772 to 1079 of the family's 1533-position model. The record is from RNAcentral.
ACUAAAUAGAUACCCGGGUAGUCCACGCCGUAAACGAUGAUUACUCGCUGUUGGCGAUACACUGUCAGCGGCUAAAGCAAAAAAAGCAAUAAGUAAUCCACCUGGGGAGUACGGCCGCAAGGUUGAAACUCAAAGGAAUUGACGGGGGCCCGCACAAGCGGAGGAACAUGUGGUUUAAUUCGAUGAUACGCGAGGAACCUUACCUGGGCUUAAAUGUAGAGUGCAUUUUCUAGAGAUAGGAAUUCCCUUCGGGGCUUUCUGCAAGGUGCUGCAUGGUUGUCGUCAGCUCGUGCCGUGAGGUGUCGGG